RNAcentral lists this small RNA (124 nucleotides) under Marmota monax (woodchuck). The record is from RNAcentral. Lineage: Eukaryota; Metazoa; Chordata; Mammalia; Rodentia; Sciuridae.
GCCAGGUAUGGUGGUGCACGCCUGUAAUCCCAGCGGCUCAGGAGGCUGAGGCAGGAGGAUUGUGAGUUCAAAGCCAGCCUUAGCAAUGGUGAGGUGCUUAGCAACUAGUGAGACCCUGUCUCUA